GAUGAACGCUAGCGAUAGGCCUAACACAUGCAAGUCGAGGGGCAGCAUAGGAGUAGCAAUACUUUUGAUGGCGACCGGCGGAUGGGUGAGUAACGCGUAUGUAACCUGCCUUGCGCUUCGGGAUAGCCCGUUGAAAGACGGAUUAAUACCGGAUAUAAUUAUUAAUCUGCAUGGAUUGAUAAUGAAAGAUUUAUUGGCGUAAGAUGGACAUGCGUUUCA
RNAcentral lists this ribosomal RNA (219 nucleotides) under uncultured bacterium. RNAcentral describes it as "partial 16S ribosomal RNA". It matches the Rfam family "Bacterial small subunit ribosomal RNA", at positions 28 to 240 of the family's 1533-position model. The record is from RNAcentral.